AAAGAGCUUUCCCGCUAUCCGCUUAUCCGUUAUUGUUUUCGUUUAUCGGACUCCUAAUAUUAUGAUAAUAAUUGUCCAGGGUAUACCGUAUGCGGACGCGAUGAACAAGACACUGGUGUUUGCCAUAUUCGAUUUCGACCGGUUUUCCAAGCACGAUCAGAUCGGCGAAGUAAAGGUGCCGUUGUGCCAGAUCGAUUUGGCCCAGACGAUCGAAGAAUGGAGGGAAUUGCAAUCGGUCGAAGGGGAAGGAGGACAGGUCAGUAGUAAUCGAAAACGAUCGCGGCGAGUAAUUAAUAAUAGUAAUAAUAAUCAUUCAAUUAAUAUCAUGUUAAAUAUUGAAAAGCCUUUCCGGGUGUUCUUGUCCACCGUAUAUUGUUCGAUUAUAUACAUCUACACGCAGACGUACCUUGUCUUUUCGAGGAUGAAAUGUUUUAACGAUACUCGUUGAAAAUAUUAUAAUUACACGACCCGUCGUAUCCACGCGCGGUUGGUAAAACGUGCUACCGACCCGGAAUUCAGCUGUAAAAACUGCUCGGGCUACAGGUAAACGUGUAAUAGUUAUUAAGAAACCAAAUUUUCACCGUAAACUAGGAAGAACGACGCACUGUGCGACAUUGAUAGUUUUUCGAUACCAAAAAUGUUUUUAAAAAGUCUGACGCCGGUAACGGGUGUGCCACGAUUUUGGGAGAGAAAUCGAAAGGGAGGAUAUAACACGGGGUGAAUAAUUUAUUUCGCAACGAUAAAAACCGUCGGAAAAACAAUUUCCCGUAGUUUUUCUACGGAAAAACAAUUCUGAGCAGAGUCAAUCCGGAAAUCGACAAAAACCGCCGGUUUUUCGACGUUUAUUAAGAAAACUGCACAAAAUGACCGCCUAUAAUUAGAUCAAAAAUGCUACAAAAAAUUCCCAUAAAUGAUUUAUUGGAACAAGAUUUUUCGUAAAAAAGUAGUUUACAGAUACACACAUACACACACACACACACACACAAACACGUACACACACGUACACAUAUACACAUCAUAGUAAAACCAAAACGUUCCUCGACUUCGCUCAGUAGUAAGAAUCUAAAUGUUGUUAAAUUGUUCUGAAAUGUGACAUGUUUUUCAAACUCGGACAACUAUUUUCGCAGUAAUGAUAUCGAAAAACUAAAACCAACGUUGCAUAUUGCAGGCGCUCUCUUUUGUUUUUUUUUAACAGUGAAAAUUUCGUUUCUUAAUUAAAUCUGCAUAAUAAGAGUACAGUGUAUGCCGGCGGUAAACGGUUUCUCCGAAUUUUUUUUUUAAUGUUAAUUUCUCGGUCGAUUACACGAUAAAUACUCGUUAUUUAUUACUCGAGACCACUUGAAAACACAUAUUUCAAAGUGAAUUAAGUAAAAUUUCCUUGAGUUCGAUUUGGAUUUCGUUUUUCACAAAAUGUCGAGAAAAUCGCAUGCGCGACAGGCGACCCGGGACAGGUAGCACGUUCGCCGUCGUGACCCGAACGUCUCGCGGAAAUUCGCAUUUCAAAUAAUACCAAUCCAAACGUAUGACGUUGUAAAAGUACAUUUGUUUGUUUUUUUUAUCCAAACAUUUCUUCGUAUAAAACACACACGGUAGCCACGCCCCGCGUCGCAAUAAUAAUUAUAAUAAUAAUAUUACACUUUUGCCGCCACUCGAAUCGUAAAAUACUCGCGUUCGCCGCAUUCAUAAUACACGUGUUAUAAAACCGACAUUAUGUGCAAUAACUUCCCGUGCAAAACUUCCGAAAGCGGGAAAACAAUCACUAUUUAUUACUUUAUGAUAAUAUAUUUUGUUUUAUUAUUUUUUUAUUAUUAUUAUUAUUACUUUCGCAUAGAUAAAAAAUAUUAGUAUUUUUUUUUAUUUUUUUUUAAUUUUUUUAAUUUUUAUACUGUUUUUUUAUAUACAUCUUAUACUACUUAUAAUAUUAUUAAUGAAAUGCAUAUAUAUAUUUAACCGUUUGAACCAUUUUACAUAAUAUAUUAUAUAUAUAUAUAUAUAUAUAUAUUUUUUUUUUAUUUUUCUUAAUUAACCUACUUACUUCAUUUUGUUAAUACAUCAUAAUAUUGUAUUGAUCUAGGCGCAACGAUUUUCGUAUAAAACGAGCAUGCAAUACUUUUUUAUUCUAUAUAUAUAUAUAUAUAUAUAUAUAUAUACUUUUUUACUUAUCUAUACUUACUAUAUUAUACUAUAUUAUUACGCAAUUAUUAUAUAUUAUAUACACAUAUAAUAAUGUAUAUUAUUUACAUAUACAUCAUAAACAAUACAUAUUAUAAUUUAUACAUUUAUAAUAACGAUAAUAUAUUAUAAUAUGUAUUCGUAUGUACGUGUAUAUAUUAUAAUAUUGCAAUAUUUUAUUACUUCUUUACAUAUUAUUAUUAUUAUUAUUAUCUAUACAAUUAUACUUACUUACAAUUUUUUUUCCAUAUAUUAUUAUUAUUAUCUAUAUUUGUUGUUAUUCGCAAGCAUUGUAUUUUGUUAUUUUUUUCUGUUUGUAUUUGUUUUGGUUUGAAUACAAAAAAUCGACCCGAUUUUUUUGGAACACGGUGCACCACGAAAACCAACAAUGUAAAAUAUGUAUACUCACGUAAGUACCGACGUAACGGCCUCCCAAGCCGAACUAUAGCCCUGUGUCAUACCGAAAUGUGUGCUGUGUCUCGUGUUUUUGUGGUGUUCUGCUAUAUUAUAAUAUUAUUAUUACGAUUUGUUUUUGGUUUUGUUUUGUUUUUUUUUUUUUUUUAUUUCGUCAGUUUUUAUAUGUUAUAUAUUAUUAUUAUUAUUAUUAAAACCCUUUAUUACGUUUUCAAUGUUCUAGGACUGCUGUUUUUUUGUUUUUUUGUUUUUUUUUUUAGAUAUUAUACCUACCUAAGUAUAUUGUUAUUAUUAUUACAUAUACUUGCGUUUGGCAGUUUUUCACGGUUGCGAUAUUAUUAUUAUUAUUAUUAGGUACGAGAAAACGGACGCGUGACUUUAUCACGGUCUUGUUCCCCCGAUCGCCGUUAACGAUUAGCGUUGACGUCAUUACAUUAUAUUUUGAUAUAUUAUAUAGGUACUAUAACUGUAUAUUAUUAUUAUUAUUAUUAUUAUUAUUAUUAUUAUUAUUAUUAUGAUUGUUGUCAUGAUCGAGACGUGACGCGGACGCAGAGUAAUAUUUUCGGUAUCAACGGUCGCCGCAGCAAUCGAUAAUUUACCAAAAAAAACUGACACUAACCUAACCGCCCGCACCCCGGACGAACUCGACCAAAUAUCUUCGCCUACCCGCCCGUACAAUAUGGACGAUAUUAAUUGUUUUUCUCGCGACAAUAAUGGCUGUUGAAUUCAGAACCGUACAUUACGUUUUUCCAUUCAAAGACGUGUUGUUUGCCCUUGUUCAACCGAAAAAAGUCAUCAAUAAAUUUUCACGCUAGACCGUGCGCAGGACCGUCCUCAAAAGGGGGGGGGUGAACGGGGCCCGAGCCCCUGGGUCUCGCGCUUUUUACUAAGAUUUGGGCCCUCGCGUUUGGCAGGAAAAAAAAAACACUAAUUUAUAUUUAAUAUAAUAUUGAAACGUGAAAAUAUUUUAAAUUUAGCCCCGGACCUCGCGAAUCGCUAUUCAUAGGCGCAACUAGAGGGGGCAGGAGCUAAGUCCCUCCAGUUUACCGAAUGGCCACCCCAGUAACGACGAAUGUAGUUAUAGAUACAUUGAUAUUUUAUAAUAAUUAUUUGCGUUUGUUUUCACGACUACGAUAAUCUAAUACGACAUUAUGUUUUCAAAUUCAAGCGAAUAAAUCUGUUCGACGUUAUAGCCGCCGUCACCACCCACCCCCUGCCCGAAAUUUUCACCCGAAUCGCGCCCACGGUCGUGUCCGUUGGUUUACCCCAUAUCCGCGCCGAAAAUACGCGCAGUUUUACCGAAAUACACCCGUAUAAUUUCGUCGGGCCUUUAUUGUCGGUACCGAAAUGCUAAGCGUGCGCGUAACGUGCGGUUAAUGUUCAUGUCGUACAAUACUAUAAUUAUAACUGCAGUAGCGGGUAGCUAUCUCUGGAAACAUGCAAAACUUUCGCGUAUAAUAUCAUACUGUACAUGUACAUUAUGUUAUUGUCGGUAUAAAAUAAAGGUUACGUUUUCGUACAAUUUAUAAUAAUAUACGCAAUAUACGCGUAGUCUUUGAGUAACGUAUUAUUCGACGUAUACAUCGGUAUGAUAUUUAUCGCGAUUUUUUUUUUUUUUUUUAGAUUUAAUUAGGUCCCACGUAUUACAAUAUUAUCAUAAUAUUAGCAGCGUAUACCUCCUAUCUAUUUAGCGUCGUAGGUUUUCCGUCGAUUAUACUGUGAUACUAUACUAUACUAUAAUGUACAAUCGGACCGUGUUUACUCAGACUAAUAAUUCUGUCUUUUUUUUUUUUUACGUUUUAAAACUAUUUAUUAAGAGAAUAUCGCGCGACAAACGUUUAUUAAGUGGCGUGGACGAGCGUGGCCGUUUAUUUCAACAGUCAAAAAAAUAACGAACACUUUUCGCCCCGAAAAGUAUUCGAACGCAGCAUUUUAUCCGUAAAAAUUUAAAAUCAUUUCGUGUACGAAAUUCGUGUUCGAAAACAUCACGAAAAAAACAAAAAAGUAUUAUCCUGACGACAGCGUUAUAUCCAUGUAUAGAAUAUAUGUCGUAUGUUUAUUCUCAAUUCACCAUAUUGAAUAACAAGUGCUUGAAUUGGAUGGAGGGAGGACGGGCAGGGGACGGAGCUCUUUUACUUUAGAUAUUUUUUUUUUCCGCGUCCCUAACUAAUUCGUUUGACGGAAGCAUGGUACGCGUCUCGUUUUUCAAAGAAUUUUAUUUUCCAAAAAUAUCAUGUAUCAUCAACUCGGAAAAAUUGUACGGUUUUUUCUUUAUCAGAAUUCAAUAUGUACCGUUCAGUUAUAAUUAUUGUGUUGUUUCUGUGUUGCACCUUUACCUCUGUUUAUAAGUAAUUUAAUCAAUAACUAAACGUUGCGAUUUUUAUUAUACGAACGUACAAGAAACCAUUUAGUAAAAUACAUAAAUUAUAAAUACAUAAGUUUUAACUUAGCUUGCAGGAGUAUAAUUUGGUUACGCUUUCUUUUUUUAAUAAAUGUUUGAUCGUAUUUUCGAAUAUCUCGAAAAGCCGUGUAAGGUGAGCGUGUGGGGUAGAGCAAAUCAACGAUCGUAAGGGACGCUAUAAUUUUAUUUAAGUUUCGUUGUUCGUUUAUUUUCCCGAUUCGAGCACUGGGUUAUUUAAACCAAAAGCGGACGGGUCGUUCGCCGGACGAAAAACCGCGUGUUCUUUGAUUUUCAUUUACGCUAAACGAUUUUUCGACUCGAGAUUUUUUUUUUUUUGUGUUCGACGAGCAACGUUCGCACGCUGACAUCCUCUUAAAAUACGUCGAAUUAAGAAAAAAAAAAAAAAAAACCGUCAAACAAUAACGGCCAUUGUUAAAACCAUAACGAUGACGACGAAAAUUAACGACCAACAGUAAUAUUCUAUGAUAACGACGUUGUAUCGCAUACGGACGAAACGCCCGGGCGAAAACGAUUCCGGCGCGUUUUACCAAAAACGAUUAUUUUCAUUAUUUUUACAACGUAAAUAUAACGGCGUGGUAUAUUUGUGUUAUAAACGGUAUAUUCAUUUUUUUUUAAUCAAUACCUGACGACGAAUAUUGUAUUUUAACAGUCCGUAACGCGUACAUAAUAGUAUAAUAUAUUAUUUAUGAAUCGACAUUUCGACUGUACACGAUUUUACCGUUAGUAUAUUUAAAUAGAUGUUAUACUAUCAUCCAUAGAUCAACGGUGCUAGACCACAUAUAAUAUUAUAUUAUAUAUAUAAUUAUAUAUAUGUAUACUUAUAGAAUUACUAUAGCGUAGUAUUAUUACUGUCGAAAAACUUAGGCAUUAUAUUUUACUGUACACUUAGACGGAAUACUAGAAUUCGAAUACAAUAUACACAUAAACACAUACAUAUUCCCGUGUUUUGAAAACCUACAAUAAAAUAACGUUAAUGAUAUAAAAUUAAUAACGAUAAUGUGUCCGCCUGUUAGAUGUUGUCCGAAACUCACACGCGUAUAGUGGCACAAAUCGUUUAUGGAACGUGCUGAUGUAUUGCCCACAUUAUAUAGUAUCGUUAUAUUAUUGUAAUAACUGUGUAUACGGUUCCCCGUGUAUAAAAUCAAUUUGUUGCAAUUAAUAUUAUUAUUUUUUUUUUUUAGAAAAUUGGAUUUUCCUCCUUCCCCUCCCCCCCCACCGCCAAUACUAUAUUUUAUUAUUGUUACAAUACCGAUUCAGAAUCGUGAUCGAAAAAAAAAAAAAAACCACGUCUCGACGUUAAAACACUGUUCGUUUUGCCGUUUUUUUAGGAUAAUAAGCUGGGAGACAUUUGCUUCUCGUUGCGUUACGUGCCCACCGCCGGGAAAUUGACUGUCGUGAUAUUGGAAGCUAAAAAUUUAAAGAAAAUGGACGUCGGUGGACUCUCAGGUAUAAUAUAAAAAAAAAAAAAAAAAAGGAAACACGACAACGAACUGAAACCGACAUUGCCCAUACACACGAUUCGUCGCUUCCCAGUCCCCCGUUUAAAGCUUUUGAUGCGCUAUACGAAUGUGUAUUUUAUAAUAAUUAUUAUAUUGCCUAUUUAUGUGUAUACGCAGAUCCGUACGUGAAAAUCGCCUUGAUGCAAAACGGAAAACGGUUGAAGAAAAAGAAAACCAGCAUAAAAAAGUGUACUCUCAAUCCGUACUACAACGAGUCGUUUACAUUCGAAGUGCCGUUCGAACAGAUACAGGUAAAUAAAAUUAAUAAAUACACGUUUCAAUAAACGCCGAACAAAACGAAAGUGGCGGUUACAUCACAGUCUUGAGGGAGGGGCGGAUUUCAAUGCCGUGGUUGUCAUCACGGACUUCAACCCCCAUCUCCCUGUCCUUAUCCUUUUUUGGUAUUUUAUUACUCCAGUGUGUAGUCGUACGGAAAAUGUGUUACGUACACUUUGGCGGUUUUAAUUGAAAAUAUUGGUCUUGACCCCUAUUAUUAGACAUUUUAUCGUUUCUGUCCUCCCCUCGGAUAUCUAUCGAAAAAUCAUAAACAUGCAUUCAACGAAUGCGAACUUGGAAUGAUGUUAAUUAUGCACUGCAGGGUUAAACGAUACAGGCAGUAACCGAACGGUCGAAACAACCAUCGGGAGAACAAAAUAUUAUGGUUUUAUUAAAGUUUUUGCGACACGAAUGUCAAAUCAAAUUAAAAUAACGAGUCGAAGUAUAAUUUAUGAUAUCCGUUCUCCACUGUGGACCGUCGAAAGUCGGUCGGUGAAACCGAUUGACGAUGUCAGCCGUUUUAGUAUGUGUAUCGGUUUUUUCUCUUAAUUUUUCGACACGUCAGUGUUGUCAUUUCAUAUUGUGGACAACUUUUCAUGUCAAACCGUACACAAAAUUAAAAUAACGAUUAUUUGAAAAAAAAUAAUAAUAAUAACGUAUACAUUUCUCUUUUUUUUAUUAUUAUUAUUUAACAGCGUUUUAUAAUUGCAGUUUUUAAUUGCGCCUUUUAACGUUUGAAUAAAUAAACGAUCACCGAACGAACCACGGACAAUAAUCUGUGCAUAUUGUAAGCCGUAAUAAGUUACCCGUACAAAUAAAACAAUAUCCAGAGUAUUUGAGGGAUUGCGCGUAGGCAAUUUCAAUGCCAUUUUUGAAAAAGUGAACAUUGAUCAUCUCGAAUGAAAUUUCAAAUAAAUUUAACGUAGGCAAUAACGAAUCCCCUCGCAUUUAUUACGCCACAAGUAAUAAUACUUAUUGCGCAUUCGAGAGAAAUCCGUUUCGCGCAGUUGAAAAGUACUCGGGCUAAGAAACCAAAUGUUCAUCACAAAAACGAAAAACCUCGCAGCGACCGAGUUUCAAAACCGUAAAACUAUCCGAUUACCAACAAUUACCGAUAUCCAAUAUUAAUACUUGUUUAACACUGUUCGCGGUAUCGGAGGGAAAAAAUAUAAACUUCGUUGCACGGCGACAUUUCCUACGUUUCGUACGGUGAAUAUGGUCGGUUUCUUACGAAAGUAAGAUUACCUAAGAUCCAAGACCCGAAUAAUAUUGUUGUCGAAUGAAUGAAACUGCUUUUCAUUCGUCUUAUACAGACUGUCCGUCAACGUCGCGCACCGAAUGUAUUGGCCCAUCGACUGUUUAAGACUUUCACUGGUUCAAAAUUAUACAAAUUGACAAAAAAUUAAUUAAAAUAAAAAAUACAAUAUUGCGCGAGAUUUUCUCGGUAAUUCGCCGAUUCAUUCAAUCCCCGGGCCUGCCGUCCAUAUCCUGAAAAUUCGGCCUGUUGUAUGGUUUUUAUGUACACUUACUUAACUUCUUUUUUUUUUUUCGUAGUUAUUACGAGUUUAAGGUCAUACCGUUCGAACGUUUUGUUUCCAGUUUUCCCUGUCCAAUGGUUCUUUUCAUUCCAAUCCACUCAUGGCUUUACUUUUCCUACUUAUUCCGUCGCCCUAUUUUCCCGUCCUCCAAACGAUGUUCCUCCUCCCCCCCCUCUAGUGAUGCAUUUCCUGUAGUAAGUAGAAACGAUUCCUAUUUCGCCUUUACGCCGUACCUCUUUCGUGUUCGUUUCAGUCUCUCGGUACCAAUAAAAGACUUCCACGAUAUUCGUACUCGGAUACAUCUCCCUUGUACAUAGUUCCCGGUUAUUUCAUAUUUCUCACUAUCAGAUGUAUAUGCUUCUUACGUCUCCACUCGUCUAACUUAAUUCACUUACGUUUUUUUUUUUUUUUUUUACGAAUUUUUCAGAAAGUCAACCUGGUAGUGACCGUAGUCGAUUACGACCGUAUCGGCACGUCCGAGCCCAUCGGCAAAGUGGUGUUGGGCUACAACGCUACCGGCACCGAGCUGCGACACUGGUCGGACAUGUUGGCGUCGCCGAGACGUCCGAUCGCACAGUGGCACACGCUAAAGGAUCCGGACGACGACGCCAAGAACUAAGAACAACAAAAAACCGCUGUACACGAUAUCCGCCACCGCCGCCGACGAUAAUACAAUAACGAAUAUUAUAAAAAAAAAAAAAAAAAAACAAGCUUAACCCCCGGUAUUAUAUUAUUAUAUACAAUAUGUUUUAGGUAACACAUAUUAUUUUACUAUCAAAAAUACGUAACGAUAUGAAAAAUAAAUAGACAAAAUAAUAAUUAUUAUUUUACCCGCCGGCAAACUAGACGUAUACCGGUAUAACAUAUAUAUAAUACACAAAAAACAAAAAAAAAACCGGAGGCAGUGGCCCGUCGUCGUCAUUCUUAACAACACUAAAAAAAAAAAAAAAUAAAAACCUAAAAAACUAUUACAUUUAAAAUUUACCUACCGUUUUGUAGCGCGGACACAUUUCGCUGUAGAAACCGCGAAAACGACAUUGGAUUGCCGACGAACGAUCAUAUAGAAUUUUCCAACACAAUGUUUACAAUAUUACCGUAGUUAACAGUGUUCGAGCAUUCCCCCAUCGAGUAUAUCGAAUAUCAUGUUUGGCCGUCCUUUUACCGCGGGCGGACCCUUUUCAAGCCGCUCCCCGACGGCAGCGCCGUAAAAACCGUUUCGAUCUUCCUCCCCUCCCCCCACCCCCGCAAAUAGUUUCCACAAAUUUCACAAUGUGCGGACACGAUAAUAUUGUUCUCGCGAAAAUAUCCUAAACAUUUCAAAAUUACAUUUGUGUCGUACAAUGUAUUCGAUUUCCGAUAGGCAGUGAUAUUUUGUAUGAACUCAGGUAAUAAGACGUACAGACGUACACACCUCUAUGGGCGGGUAGAGUUUCAGUGGUUAUAAUCCGCGCGUAAUAUUGAAAAAUAUUUUACUGCGUAGGUGCGUACGCGCGGUUUGACUAGUUUAUACCAAAAUACCGUUUUGACCGAAAAGGGUUCCGCCAUACAUUUCACAGACUCUGAUCGUUUUUUUUUUUUUUUCAUUGUUUUCGUGUUGUUGUUCUAUUAUUCCUUCUGUGUAAAUAAUAUUAUAAUUAUAGUCGAUAAAUAAUAUGUAUACAAUAAAAAAAAAAAAAAAGGUAAAAAACUAUAGACAGCCGACGGUUUGACAAUAUUAUCGUUCGUGAUCCGUUACAAGAACCGUAUGAAAUUGCCCGGUUAUAUAAUUACACUAUACACGGGGGCCAUUGGCGUACACAGGAGGGGGCGGGUCACAAGGCGAUUGCCUCCUCACAAUUUCGAUUGUUUUUUUUUUGUUUCUGCUUAAUUCGUUUAGGCGUUCAAUAAUAUUAUUUCCAUAGUAACGUAAACGUAUACGGGUUUCGGUAUUAUUAUAAGCUACACGCUCGUUUGCCGGCAACAGACGUGAUAAUCGGUAAUAAUAAGACGUGUAGGGGGGGGGGGCGGGAAAGACGAAUAUCGACAAAUUGGAUCAGUAAAAACGCGUUUUUAAUAAAAUCGGCACCCUCCCUCGCGCCCCACGCCGUUGAACUACACUCGAAUCCGUCGCUGGAGUAUCGCACCGAUUGGGCCCGUGAAAUAUUUUGUUUCCCACUGUUAUGUUGUGCGGACGAUAAUAUUGUAGAAACGUCGGGGACAACAAGAUAGGGGUACCCAAGGUGUUGCGACUGUUUUCGCAUAUUUUCCAUCGUAUUGUCGCGCGUACGUGGCUCGCUCGAAUAUUUCGCCGGUUUAAAAGACACGAUUCCGCCCUCCCUGUGUGCCUGUUAAACAACGACACAACCGUGGCCAGGCCCCGCGUAAACAAUUCGUAUAGAGCCGGCUGUCUGCAGUCUUUUUACCCAAGCAGCAACACGUUUAAAAUACUGUUAUCGCGCCGUAGACGCCGUGUUUUCGAAAAAUAAUAAUCAUAACAGCGAGACCGUCGGACGCGCUCUAAAAGCUUUUCGAACGAAAUUUUUUUUUUUUUUUCUAAAAAAAUCGCGCGUUGACACAGGCCACGUACAUGGCGUGUAUUAUAAUACCCGGCCCCGCGGUUUCGAAUCGACGGGAAAAAUCCACGCGGACCGCAAUAACGACCGCGAUGUUCGUAAAACAAUACCGUCAACUCGCGUAGCUAUUCGAACUCCGUUUAACCGACAAAAUAAUCACCGUUUCGCCGUCGCGUUUGGUUUUUGUUUUUCCAGCUACAAAUCGCAAAAAAAAAAAAACCGUCGCUCCGUUAAUUGUUAUUAACGCGUCCGGGCUUUUCGCACGGUCCCGUUUCGAACCGACGACAACGGAAUUUCACCCGUUACGGGGGUUGCGCCGUGCGCGGACGUUCCGACGGCGUCCACGCGCGACGCGAUAAUAUCACGGGGGAGAAGAAAACGUGCGCGCACGCGUGUGAACCGCGACGGAAAUAUCAUCGGCAGAUCGGUCGGGGCCCCGUCGGUCUCAAAACCACGAUUGCGGAUCAGUGCCGCGCGGUCAGGGGAAAACGAAUAUUGUAUCGUAUACGCCCUCCCGCGCCCCCGCCCGUAACGAUAAUAUACGCAUGAUAUUUAUUUUUGGUGUGUGCGGGGGGAAAA
Cinara cedri is the source of this 11452-nucleotide non-coding RNA. The record is from the annotation of a GenBank genome assembly. Lineage: Eukaryota; Metazoa; Arthropoda; Insecta; Hemiptera; Aphididae.